Molecule: ribosomal RNA, 468 nt
Filed under: uncultured bacterium
Lineage: Bacteria
Description: partial 16S ribosomal RNA
Rfam family: Bacterial small subunit ribosomal RNA
Source: RNAcentral
GACGAACGCUGGCGGCGUGCUUAACACAUGCAAGUCGAACGGAAAGGCCCUGCUUUUGUUGGGUGCUCGAGUGGCGAACGGGUGAGUAACACGUGAGUAACCUGCCCUUGACUUUGGGAUAACUUCAGGAAACUGGGGCUAAUACCGGAUAGGAGCUCCUGCUGCAUGGUGGGGGUUGGAAAGUUUCGGCGGUUGUGGAUGGACUCGCGGCUUAUCCGCUUGUUGGUGGGGUAGUGGCUUACGAAGGCUUUGACGGAUAGCCGGCCUGGGAGGGGGACCGGCGACAUUGGGACUGAGAGACGGCCCAGAAGCCUACGGGAGGCAGCAGUGGGAAAUAUUGCACAAUGGGCGGAAGCCUGAUGCAGCAACGCCGGGUGCGGGAUGACGGCCUUCGGGUGGUAAACCGCUUUCGCCUGUGACGAAGCGUGAGUGACGGUAAUGGGUAAAGAAGCACCGGCUAACUACGUG